Molecule: ribosomal RNA, 253 nt
Filed under: uncultured bacterium
Lineage: Bacteria
Description: partial 16S ribosomal RNA
Rfam family: Bacterial small subunit ribosomal RNA
Source: RNAcentral
UACAGAGGUCUCAAGCGUUGUUCGGAUUCAUUGGGCGUAAAGGGUGCGUAGGUGGCGCUGUAAGUCGGGUGUGAAAUUUCGGAGCUUAACUCCGAAACUGCAUUCGAUACUGCGGUGCUUGAGGACUGGAGAGGAGACUGGAAUUCAUGGUGUAGCAGUGAAAUGCGUAGAGAUCAUGAGGAAGACCAGUGGCGAAGGCGGGUCUCUGGACAGUUCCUGACACUGAGGCGCGAAGGCCAGGGGAGCAAACGGG